GAUGAAGAACGUAGCGAAAUGCGAUAAGUAAUGUGAAUUGCAGAAUUCAGUGAAUCAUCGAGUCUUUGAACGCACAUUGCGCCCCCUGGUAUUCCGGGGGGCAUGCCUGUCCGAGCGUCAUUGCUGCCCUCAAGCACGGCUUGUGUGUUGGGCCGUCGUCCCCCUCCUAGGGGACGGGCCCGAAAGGCAGCGGCGGCACCGCGUCCGGUCCUCGAGCGUAUGGGGCUUCGUCACCCGCUCCGUAGGCCCGGCCGGCGCUUGCAGACGACCAUCAAUCUCUUUCUCCAGGUUGACCUCGGAUCAGGUAGGGAUACCCGCUGAACUUAAGCAUAUCAAUAAGCGGAGGA
Molecule: unclassified non-coding RNA, 347 nt
Filed under: soil metagenome
Description: partial contains 5.8S ribosomal RNA, internal transcribed spacer 2, and large subunit ribosomal RNA
Rfam family: 5.8S ribosomal RNA (bases 1-120)
Source: RNAcentral